Molecule: ribosomal RNA, 495 nt
Filed under: uncultured bacterium
Lineage: Bacteria
Description: partial 16S ribosomal RNA
Rfam family: Bacterial small subunit ribosomal RNA
Source: RNAcentral
GACGAACGCUGGCGGCGUGCCUAAUACAUGCAAGUAGAACGCUGAAGGAGGAGCUUGCUCUUCUGGAUGAGUUGCGAACGGGUGAGUAACGCGUAGGUAACCUGCCUGGUAGCGGGGGAUAACUAUUGGAAACGAUAGCUAAUACCGCAUAAUAGUAGAUGUUGCAUGAUAUUUACUUAAAAGGUGCAAUUGCACCACUACCAGAUGGACCUGCGUUGUAUUAGCUAGUUGGUGGGGUAACGGCUCACCAAGGCGACGAUACAUAGCCGACCUGAGAGGGUGAUCGGCCACACUGGGACUGAGACACGGCCCAGACUCCUACGGGAGGCAGCAGUAGGGAAUCUUCGGCAAUGGACGAAAGUCUGGCCGAGCAACGCCGCGUGAGUGAAGAAGGUUUUCGGAUCGUAAAGCUCUGUUGUAAGAGAAGAACGAGUGUGAGAGUGGAAAGUUCACACUGUGACGGUAUCUUACCAGAAAGGGACGGCUAACUACGUG